Molecule: long non-coding RNA, 219 nt
Organism: Myzus persicae (green peach aphid)
Lineage: Eukaryota; Metazoa; Arthropoda; Insecta; Hemiptera; Aphididae
Exons: 2
Source: RefSeq, a predicted model, not a curated record
UGUAAUCUUUGAUCAUAUGAAUAAAAUUUUAAUAUACUGUUAUCACAUAUUUUAAUAAUUAUUAAUUAUUCCGUACUCAAGAAUCGAUAUUAUAGUUGUACAAUAAUUGUAAAUAUACACGCCUGCUGUCAAGACGGGCUACAUCACUGCGACAUGUUUCCAUGCUUCUCAUAAUGCUAGCAUUAUAGGCAAUUCAUGUCUAUUAGUAUAAGGUCUAUG